AACGAACGCUGGCGGCAUGCCUAACACAUGCAAGUCGAACGAAGCCUUCGGGCUUAGUGGCGCACGGGUGCGUAACGCGUGGGAAUCUGCCCUUGGGUUCGGAAUAACAGUUAGAAAUGACUGCUAAUACCGGAUGAUGUCUUCGGACCAAAGAUUUAUCGCCCAAGGAUGAGCCCGCGUAGGAUUAGGUAGUUGGUGGGGUAAUGGCCCACCAAGCCGACGAUCCUUAGCUGGUCUGAGAGGAUGAUCAGCCACACUGGGACUGAGACACGGUCCAGACUCCUACGGGAGGCAGCAGUGGGGAAUAUUGGACAGUGGGCGCAAGCCUGAUCCAGCCAUGCCGCGUGAACGAUGAAGGCCUUAGGGUUGUAAAGUUCUUUUGUCAGGGAAGAUAAUGACGGUACCUGAAGAAUAAGCACCGGCUAACUUCGUGCCAGCAGCCGCAGUAA
This 449-nucleotide ribosomal RNA is filed under the name uncultured bacterium. Its description in RNAcentral is "partial 16S ribosomal RNA". It matches the Rfam family "Bacterial small subunit ribosomal RNA", at positions 29 to 523 of the family's 1533-position model. The record is from RNAcentral.